This is a long non-coding RNA of Cairina moschata (Muscovy duck), 2178 nucleotides long. The record is from Ensembl. NCBI's taxonomy places the organism in Eukaryota, Metazoa, Chordata, Aves, Anseriformes, Anatidae.
ACACUCAUGUUCUCCACUUUCCAAGUAUUUUCAGUGCUUUUACAAUGAAACACUUUUUUUUUUUUUUUUUUUUUUUUUUUUUUUUUUUGUGAAGGUUAGCUCAGGAUGUGGACUAGAGAUGUACAAAUACGGUUUUUUUUUUCUUGUUUUAUAUUUUUUUUUUUUUUUUUUUUUUUCCUUUUUUUUUUCAAAAUUUGCAAAAAAAAUUUGCCUUUCCAGUGCUGAACCUGCCUCUCUGCCUGCAUCCCAGCUCACUCUGUCUGAUCCCAGAGGGGAAAGAAACCCAGAUGUGGACAAGAGCAAACUGCAGCCACCUCCAUCUCCAUCGGCUCGGUGUAGGAGGGAAGUUUGGCAGGGUGGGCUGUGGCAGUACUGAAGCACAGAUAGUGCCCCGGCAGCAUUCUGGGGCUUUCAAGCGAUUUUGGUUUUAUCCCAGCGGAGUGAACUGUCCUGAACUCACCUCCUCCCUGGGCUGUUACCCUCAUGGUCAGCUACCCCAAAACUCCCAAGCCCAUAGGUGGGAUGGGGUGGGGUGGGAUGCAGUGGGGUGCUGUCCCUAGCCCACAGCUUCGGCUUGGCUCGGAGCCAUAAAGGCCCUGCCAUUCAGCAGCAACUCUGGCUCUUGCUAAUUUUAUUUAUCAUAUCUCAUGGCUUUAUGUUUGCUGCCCACCCUUUGCUGGACUGCAGGUGUUUGCAGCAGUUUCUCUUCUCACUUUCGGUUGUGUGUAUGGCCGUAACUCUCAGCUAGACUUCAACAUUACAGAUACAAGCCUCGUGAAUUAGGUAUUAUAGCAGAAAUGGCUUACGAGAGCCCUGUGUGAAUCCUUGGCUGCUCUCUCCACACCCAGCAUAGCUGAAGCCCAUCUGGGCUGUUCAGUGGCAUCAAGAAGAGAUACAGCAAAAACAAAGAGGGACACAUGAAAAAGGACAUAAGAAAUUGAAGAAACAAGCAGAGCACAAGAAACAUAAACAGCAGCAGCUGAGCAUAAUUCAUUCCAGCCUUCCUCAGUAGCUGAAUAUGGUUUUCUAAACUGCUAGUUAAUUUUUCACAUUGCCAUUCAGCUACUGUGUUACUGUGCUUGGAUUUUCACCCUGGUGUAUAGCAACAACUUCAUUCCUGUGGAAAUACAGAGGAGAUCCAUCUCCACCCAGACCUCAGCUCACCGUACAUCACCUCCCACUGACAGCCAGAACCCAGUGGAAGCUGCUUGUUCUCCUGGAGGAGAUCUGCUUUCUGAAGCAGGUGUUAAUUCAUGUUCCCAUGCUGGCUUGACUGGAUCCACAGCUUGCUGCUGUGCUACUCUGGAAGUCACUAGUGUUUGUCAGAUACACAAUUUUUCCAUUAAGAGGAAGCCACCAGGCUGUGCCACGGGCAGCACAGGAGGUGAUCGUCCACUCUUUGGGGUCACAGCUCUCACCCUUGGCAGGAGCAGAUGCUGUAUUGCCAGACUGAUUUUGUGGGGAGGGCUAAGCUCAUGGCACGGCUCCUCUGUAAGCUGUGCACGGCCACAUAUUAGUUCAACUGUAAGAGGAAGAGGUGCUGAAGAAUGAGGUUUUUGUACUUUCUCGGGCAGCUGAGGUCAUCUUGUCCAAAAACUUAGGCUGUACAGUGUCCAGCAUCAGCUAUUCCAGAAGACAGCAUAAAAAAAUCCACAGUUGUGGGUUCUCAGAGUGAUCCUUUCUGCUCUCAGCCCUAACCUUAAGGAUAAGCUCCCUUCUCUAAUUCCGUUUUGCUAAUUACACCAGGUACCACCUGGUACCAGCAGUUAUACAGAAUGCUAAGACCAUUUUUCAGUGUGAUAUUCCUGGCCUCAGGCCUCCCUGGGGCUCCAGGUUCCACAUUUAAUCAAUGUAUAGAAAAACAACUUUUCUUUCUGGUUUUGGACUCUGUCACUGCCAAUCAGCACUGGAAUCCUCUCACUCCCCCAUUGGCAAAUGGAGGAGAGCAGGUCCCAAGACACCUCCUUUGUGCUCAUCACUUGUGCUUUUACAAACCUUGCUCCUUUACUUGGUUUUGAUGACAUUAAACAAACAAUGGACUUUCCAGUGCCUUUGCUUCAAACUUUUCAGAGGUUAUUUGAUAUGAGAUUUGAUGUUCUUGUCUUUCUUUUGACCUCUUGUCCCGAGGGUCCUCCCCAAAGAUGCCAUGGUGAGGUGACCCUCUUUGCUCACCCUGUU